RNAcentral lists this long non-coding RNA (1053 nucleotides) under Cyanistes caeruleus (blue tit). RNAcentral's name for it is "lncRNA (ENSCCEG00000017290.1)". The record is from RNAcentral. Lineage: Eukaryota; Metazoa; Chordata; Aves; Passeriformes; Paridae.
CUGGCAGUGUCGGGUUGAAGGAGCCCCAGUAAAGCAAGCAGAGGGGCUCAGACAGCAACUCCUGCUUCUGAGCUUCCACAACGGCUGCCAGGUGUGCCCCGGCCACCCCAAAUACCUUCCCUACCAGCUGGGGGACAUCAUCCAUCAGCAGCAUUAAAGCCAAGGUUAAGAUGGGCACAGCUCUAGGUGGCCCAUAGCUUGGGGUUCAUCUCAGAAGGAGGGACUUCAUUUGGUCACAGAGAAGACGUGCCUUCCCUGCAAGGAGCAGUAAAGAAAAUCCACAGCCUCUUGAAGAGGCUUAAAUGUAUUUUAUAGGUACCUCCAUUUCAACAUUUUCCUUCCUAAUCCACGAGAAAAAGGGAGAUGUUGGGAUUUGAUCCAAAAGAUCUUACAACCGAUUUUGUGGUGAAACAGAGAAAAACCGUGAGCAGCCAACUCAGUGGAAACCUGCAUGUUAAACGCAGAGAAGCACAAAGUGUUUGAUGCUGUUAGAGUUCAAAAUAACAAGGAAAAAUGGUGGGGAAUUUACCUGCCUUGGAACAAAGGCUGGGAGGCCUGGCCAUUCCACCGGGAGUGCUCACCCUGGGAGCACCAGUGUCUACCUUGGGAGGAAGCAAGCUGCCACCAGAAUAAAAGCAGGGUGGAGCUGCUCCCACUCCAAGGCAAGAGCCUGCAAGGCCCAUCCUUUGGGGACUCGUCUUUUGUGUGAAGGCACAUUGUCUAGCAGAGGAAGAGGUUGGUACCUGGUGGAGCAGGGCCAAGAUUCCAUUUUCCCCAGGCAGCUCCCUCCUCUGCCUGCUGUAGCGCUGGCCAGGGCUGGGAGAGGAGGGGGAGUGUGUUCAGCACUGCUGCUGGAACGGAGUGGCCCUCUCAGGAGGAUCCCGGUUGCUUCAGGACCUUGCUUUUGCACUGGUUUGUGUCCACAAAGGAAAGGCAUGCAGAAGGCAGCACCAUCACCCCAGCCCUGUAGUCUGGACCUAGAAAGGCUUCCAAUAAAGCCAGGUGCUGCUGUCCAGGGCAGUUGGAGUUGUUCUGUGCCUUCUUUGGGGGGGA